RNAcentral lists this ribosomal RNA (160 nucleotides) under uncultured bacterium. RNAcentral's name for it is "partial 16S ribosomal RNA". It matches the Rfam family "Bacterial small subunit ribosomal RNA", at positions 355 to 507 of the family's 1533-position model. The record is from RNAcentral. RNAcentral also lists the same sequence under 1 other name.
UGGGGAAUAUUGGACAAUGGGCGAAAGCCUGAUCCAGCCAUGCCGCGUGUGUGAAGAAGGUCUUCGGAUUGUAAAGCACUUUAAGUUGGGAGGAAGGGCAUUAACCUAAUACGUUAGUGUUUUGACGUUACCGACAGAAUAAGCACCGGCUAACUUCGUG